CCCGCCCCCGCCCCUGCCCCGGGGCAGCCUGUGCUGUUCCGUGUGCGCGGCGCAUACGCACCUGGGUUGUCUCGAGCCUGCGGUAGUGGCCAGAUCCCAGACAUCCGAGUAGAUCCCGUGAAAAGGUCUCCCACGUGGGCUGUGGACAGGGCCCAAGGGUAGCAGAGCUAGCAGAGGCAGUGACGGACUGUGUGGCAGGUCAUUUGCAAGGAGAAAAGCCGUCUGCCUCUUAAUUUGUGGCUCAAGUUUCAGAAUUUUUUUCCUGAGGGACUUUAGAAAUUACUUCAGGCUUGCCACCUAACCUUAAACCACCCCCUUGGAGACUGGCUAAGUGUUAUUUGUGUUUUCUGUUUAGUUCUUAUCACCAUCGAUACUUGGUUAUGACUGGUUGUGUACAUUGGUUAGCCCAGCAAGUAUUACUUCUCCAGCUUAACAGAUGUGGAAACUUAAGCCCAGAGACAUGAGUUGACACCCCACCCCCAAAGCUAGAGUCUAAAACCCUUUCUUUCGCUCCUCAUCUCCCACAGGAUAAAAUGCAAAUUAAUCAGACUAGUGGUGAGGCCCUCCGUGGUGUGACUAACCUGCAUCCCGACGUUUUCACCCUACUUUGAUCCAGAAAGCACCUUUCCGCCCCAUCUCUUCUCCUUUCCUUAAAUACCCCUUACAACUUCCUGUACCAUUCUUCCCUGUUCAGCUUCUUCUUGGUUUCUUCGUACAUUCUGGAUCCACCCCUUUCAUGCAUAUUCCAGACCACAUUUCCACUGGAGCAGUUGAAAUGAGAGAGAUGGGAAUGGGACUCACCCGAACCAGAGGUAAGGAGCUACCCAACUUGGGCUCUGAGGGUCAAGGGAGCUGGCACUUGUGGGGCAGAGACUGAGGGAGAAACUGUUGUGUAAUGUCAAAAUAUCUCUGGGUUUCUUCCAGGAAUUUUUAUUACAGACCCAUUAACAGAGGUGUCAAAGUCACAGGAACAAGGAUGUGCACCUCAGAAACACAGAGGUCAGUGGAAAAUCAGUUUGCUUCUAUUUGUUUAAAAAAUGGGGGACUUAUGCAUAAAUCUAAGACCUUCUUGAAUCUAACAUUCUAAGACCUGUAUGCCACAGAAAGGAGGGUCUCAGAACGCCGGAGGAUAGUAUUUAAAUCUUAAAUAUCUAUAUUGUUCUCCACAGUUACUGGGUCACCACAUAGCAGGCAUUCAAUAAAAACGUGUUUGUUUACUAAGUAA
Homo sapiens (human) is the source of this 1225-nucleotide long non-coding RNA. Ensembl annotates it as MAP3K2 divergent transcript. Its record names the gene MAP3K2-DT. NCBI's taxonomy places the organism in Eukaryota, Metazoa, Chordata, Mammalia, Primates, Hominidae. The record is from Ensembl.